Molecule: ribosomal RNA, 365 nt
Filed under: uncultured eukaryote
Lineage: Eukaryota
Description: partial 18S ribosomal RNA
Rfam family: Eukaryotic small subunit ribosomal RNA
Source: RNAcentral
CAAUAACGUAUAUUUAAGUUGUUGCAGUUAAAAAGCUCGUAGUCGGAUUUUGGCUGAGAACGAUCGGUCCGCCGUUAGGUGUGCACUGAUUGGUCUCAGCUUCCUGGUGAGGAGGUGUGCUUCGCGGCCACUUAGUCACCGUGGUUACUUUGAAAAAAUUAGAGUGUUCAAAGCGGGCUUACGCUUGAAUAUAUUAGCAUGGAAUAACACCAUAGGACUCCUGUCCUAUUUCGUUGGUCUCGGGACGGGAGUAAUGAUUAAGAGGAACAGUUGGGGGCAUUCGUAUUUCAUUGCCAGAGGUGAAAUUCUUGGAUUUAUGAAAGACGAACUUCUGCGAAAGCAUUUGCCAAGGAUGUUUUCAUUGA